This 77-nucleotide transfer RNA is filed under the name Oceanospirillales bacterium. Its description in RNAcentral is "tRNA-Val". It matches the Rfam family "tRNA". From Rfam's summary of the family: Transfer RNA (tRNA) molecules are approximately 80 nucleotides in length. Their secondary structure includes four short double-helical elements and three loops (D, anti-codon, and T loops). Further hydrogen bonds mediate the characteristic L-shaped molecular structure. tRNAs have two regions of fundamental functional importance: the anti-codon, which is responsible for specific mRNA codon recognition, and the 3' end, to which the tRNAs corresponding amino acid is attached (by aminoacyl-tRNA synthetases). tRNAs cope with the degeneracy of the genetic code in two manners: having more than one tRNA (with a specific anti-codon) for a particular amino acid; and 'wobble' base-pairing, i.e. permitting non-standard base-pairing at the 3rd anti-codon position. The record is from RNAcentral. Lineage: Bacteria; Pseudomonadati; Pseudomonadota; Gammaproteobacteria; Oceanospirillales.
AGAACUAUAGCUCAGUUGGUUAGAGCACCACCUUGACAUGGUGGGGGUCGGCGGUUCGAGUCCGCCUAGUUCUACCA